ACGAAUCGCACAUCCCAAUGCAAGGCAGCAGGCCAGCAAAGUAACACACUUCCAUACCGGCAGAGGGAGGUCGAAACAUAACGAGACGAGUCCUGUUCGAGGUCGGUCAUCGGAAUGGGUACAAGUUCAAUCCUUUACCGAGGAUCUAUUGGAGGGCAAGUCUGGUCCAGCACACGCGGUAAUUCCAGCUCCAAUACCGUAUAUUAAAGUAAAGGCGGUUAAAACACUAAUAUUGGAUCUGCGGCCGGAGAGAACGGUCCCCUGAAAGGGCGGUAGCCGUUACUCUUGCCAUAAAUCCUCUCUUUCCUCUUCGGCGCCCUUCCCCGGGGGGUUAGAGUGACCGGAACGUUUACUUUGAAAAAAUUAGAGUGUUUAAAGCAGGCGAAUUCUCGUGAAUAAGGUCCAUGGAAUAAUGGAAUAGGCCCUCGGUUUUAUUUUGUUGGUUUUCGGAGCCCGUGGUAAUGAUUAAGAGGAACAGUCGGGGGCAUUAGUAUUCCGGCGUUAGAGGUGAAAUUCUUGGACCGCCGGAAGACGGACGACUGCGAAAGCAUUUGCCAAGAAUGUUUUCAUUAAUCAAGAACGAAAGUUAGAGGUUCGAAGGCGAUCAGAUACCGCCGUAGUUUUAACCGUAAACGAUGACAACCAGGGAUUAGCCGGCGUUAAUAUAUGACCCGCUUAGCACCUUCCGGGAAACCAAAGUUUUUGGUUUCCGGGGGAAGUAUGGUUGCAAAGCUGAAACUAAAGGAAUGACGAAG
Molecule: ribosomal RNA, 755 nt
Filed under: Longidorus sp. z RC-2022
Lineage: Eukaryota; Metazoa; Nematoda; Enoplea; Dorylaimida; Longidoridae
Description: SSU rRNA
Rfam family: Eukaryotic small subunit ribosomal RNA
Source: RNAcentral